This 36-nucleotide ribosomal RNA is filed under the name Angiostrongylus cantonensis (rat lungworm). RNAcentral describes it as "partial 5.8S ribosomal RNA". RNAcentral also lists the same sequence under 1 other name. The record is from RNAcentral. Lineage: Eukaryota; Metazoa; Nematoda; Chromadorea; Rhabditida; Metastrongylidae.
CUAGCUUCAGCGAUGGAUCGGUCGAUUCGCGUAUCG